GGAGAGGUCGCAUAGUGGCCUAGUGCGCGCGCUUGGAAAGCGCGUAAGGGUAAAACCUUCGAGGGUUCGAAUCCCUCCCUCUCCG
This 85-nucleotide transfer RNA is filed under the name Candidatus Daviesbacteria bacterium RIFCSPHIGHO2_01_FULL_41_45. RNAcentral's name for it is "tRNA-Ser". It matches the Rfam family "tRNA". Rfam says of the family: Transfer RNA (tRNA) molecules are approximately 80 nucleotides in length. Their secondary structure includes four short double-helical elements and three loops (D, anti-codon, and T loops). RNAcentral also lists the same sequence under 2 other names. The record is from RNAcentral. Lineage: Bacteria; Candidatus Daviesiibacteriota.